RNAcentral lists this ribosomal RNA (1112 nucleotides) under Salmonella enterica. RNAcentral describes it as "bacterial SSU rRNA". It matches the Rfam family "Bacterial small subunit ribosomal RNA", at positions 1 to 1102 of the family's 1533-position model. Lineage: Bacteria; Pseudomonadati; Pseudomonadota; Gammaproteobacteria; Enterobacterales; Enterobacteriaceae. The record is from RNAcentral.
AAAUUGAAGAGUUUGAUCAUGGCUCAGAUUGAACGCUGGCGGCAGGCCUAACACAUGCAAGUCGAACGGUAACAGGAAGCAGCUUGCUGCUUCGCUGACGAGUGGCGGACGGGUGAGUAAUGUCUGGGAAACUGCCUGAUGGAGGGGGAUAACUACUGGAAACGGUGGCUAAUACCGCAUAACGUCGCAAGACUAAAGAGGGGGACCUUCGGGCCUCUUGCCAUCAGAUGUGCCCAGAUGGGAUUAGCUUGUUGGUGAGGUAACGGCUCACCAAGGCGACGAUCCCUAGCUGGUCUGAGAGGAUGACCAGCCACACUGGAACUGAGACACGGUCCAGACUCCUACGGGAGGCAGCAGUGGGGAAUAUUGCACAAUGGGCGCAAGCCUGAUGCAGCCAUGCCGCGUGUAUGAAGAAGGCCUUCGGGUUGUAAAGUACUUUCAGCGGGGAGGAAGGUGUUGUGGUUAAUAACCGCAGCAAUUGACGUUACCCGCAGAAGAAGCACCGGCUAACUCCGUGCCAGCAGCCGCGGUAAUACGGAGGGUGCAAGCGUUAAUCGGAAUUACUGGGCGUAAAGCGCACGCAGGCGGUCUGUCAAGUCGGAUGUGAAAUCCCCGGGCUCAACCUGGGAACUGCAUUCGAAACUGGCAGGCUUGAGUCUUGUAGAGGGGGGUAGAAUUCCAGGUGUAGCGGUGAAAUGCGUAGAGAUCUGGAGGAAUACCGGUGGCGAAGGCGGCCCCCUGGACAAAGACUGACGCUCAGGUGCGAAAGCGUGGGGAGCAAACAGGAUUAGAUACCCUGGUAGUCCACGCCGUAAACGAUGUCUACUUGGAGGUUGUGCCCUUGAGGCGUGGCUUCCGGAGCUAACGCGUUAAGUAGACCGCCUGGGGAGUACGGCCGCAAGGUUAAAACUCAAAUGAAUUGACGGGGGCCCGCACAAGCGGUGGAGCAUGUGGUUUAAUUCGAUGCAACGCGAAGAACCUUACCUGGUCUUGACAUCCACGGAAGUUUUCAGAGAUGAGAAUGUGCCUUCGGGAACCGUGAGACAGGUGCUGCAUGGCUGUCGUCAGCUCGUGUUGUGAAAUGUUGGGUUAAGUCCCGCAACGAGCGCAAC